GACGAACGCUGGCGGCGUGCCUAAUACAUGCAAGUAGAACGCUGAAGAGAGGAGCUUGCUCUUCUUGGAUGAGUUGCGAACGGGUGAGUAACGCGUAGGUAACCUGCCUGGUAGCGGGGGAUAACUAUUGGAAACGAUAGCUAAUACCACAUAAAAUGGAUUAUCGCAUGAUAAUCCAUUGAAAGGUGCAAAUGCAUCACUACCAGAUGGACCUGCGUUGUAUUAGCUAGUUGGUGGGGUAACGGCUCACCAAGGCGACGAUACAUAGCCGACCUGAGAGGGUGAUCGGCCACACUGGGACUGAGACACGGCCCAGACUCCUACGGGAGGCAGCAGUAGGGAAUCUUCGGCAAUGGACGGAAGUCUGACCGAGCAACGCCGCGGGAGUGAAGAAGGUUUUCGGAUCGUAAAGCUCUGUUGUAAGAGAAGAACGAGUGUGAGAGUGGAAAGUUCACACUGUGACGGUAUCUUACCAGAAAGGGACGGCUAACUACGUG
This 497-nucleotide ribosomal RNA is filed under the name uncultured bacterium. RNAcentral describes it as "partial 16S ribosomal RNA". It matches the Rfam family "Bacterial small subunit ribosomal RNA", at positions 28 to 507 of the family's 1533-position model. The record is from RNAcentral.